AGCUUUUUGAAUAUAUAAAAAGUAUAUCCUGCCCGGUGAAAUUUUAACGGCCGCGGUAUUUUGACCGUGCAAAGGUAGCAUAAUAAUUUGCCUUUUAAUUGGAGGCUGGAAUGAAAGGUGGUACGAGAAUAUAACUGUCUCUUUAUUUUUUUUAUAAAUUAAUCUAGAAGUGAAGAAGCUUUUAUAUAAAUAAAAGACAAGAAGACCCUAUCGAGCUUUAUAUAUAUUUAGUAUGUAAUGUUAAAUAUACUUUUUUAUUGGAUAUAUAUUUGGUUGGGGCGACUAAGGAAAAUAUAAAUCUUCCUAUUAAAAGUUUGAAAAUAUUUCAUUAAAUUGAACCUUUAGGGUUAAAUGAAAUAGUUACCGUAGGGAUAACAGGCUAAUUUUUUUUGAGAGUUCAUAUUGAUAUUAAGGAUUGGCACCUCGAUGUUGGCUUAGAAUAUCCUAUAGGUGCAGCAGCUUAUAAGGGUUGGUUUGUUCAACCAUUAAAAUUCU
Molecule: ribosomal RNA, 495 nt
Filed under: Lacydonia sp. MB-2010
Lineage: Eukaryota; Metazoa; Annelida; Polychaeta; Phyllodocida; Phyllodocidae
Description: partial 16S ribosomal RNA
Rfam family: Bacterial large subunit ribosomal RNA
Source: RNAcentral